UUUAAGUGCAACCAUAAGUUUUCAUGCCUAAUUUUGAUCGUCUAUCUUAUUUGAAAUUUUUUUUAUAAUUAGUAUUUUUAUUGUUAUGAGAUGAUAAAACAUAAAUAGUACUUUAUGCGUGUCUUAUGUUUUUAAUUUUUUUUUAAAAAAAUUUCAAAUAAGACGAAUGAUUAAAGUUGGACUCGAAAAAUUAUGGCUGCACUCAAA
Non-coding RNA from Oryza glumipatula, 207 nucleotides. The record is from Rfam. Lineage: Eukaryota; Viridiplantae; Streptophyta; Magnoliopsida; Poales; Poaceae.